Molecule: transfer RNA, 69 nt
Filed under: Helostoma temminkii (kissing gourami)
Lineage: Eukaryota; Metazoa; Chordata; Actinopteri; Anabantiformes; Helostomatidae
Description: tRNA-Val
Rfam family: tRNA
About the family: Transfer RNA (tRNA) molecules are approximately 80 nucleotides in length.
Source: RNAcentral
CAAAGUGUAGCUUAAAGAAAGCAUCUCCCUUACACCGAGAAGACACCCGUGCAAACCGGGUCACAUUGA